Pseudonaja textilis is the source of this 868-nucleotide non-coding RNA. NCBI's taxonomy places the organism in Eukaryota, Metazoa, Chordata, Lepidosauria, Squamata, Elapidae. The record is from RefSeq and is a predicted model, not a curated record.
AGAUCUUCAUAAGAGGAAAAUUUGCUGGAUGUAAUGGGUGAGAUAAUUGAGAAAAUAGUAAGAACUGAAAAAUAAGAAAUUGUGAUGGAAAUAGAUGAGACGUACAGAGUACAGAUGAAUUAUACAAGAAGGCAUAAUCUUCCUAGAGAAGUUCAUGUCCAAUUGAUUAAGUCGACUCAUGAUGAAAUAUUGCACAGAACGAGAGAGAAGCCAGUAGAACAUAGUGGAAAGCAGAUAACUGUCCUUAAACAGGUGCCGAGAAGAGUAAGGGACUUAAGAAGACCUUACCACUUUCUGACAAUGAAACUUAUAAAAUAUAAUAUCAGUUUUAGUUGGUUGAUGCCGGAAGGAACUAUGGUCAAUUGGCAGGAGAAGAGAUAUCAACUAAACACAAUUGACAAAGCGGAAGUUUUUUAGGACCAACAAUUUGCUAAUGAAGGAGAGACAGUAGUGGAAGAAGUGGAAGGAAGGAAAGACUCGGCAGAGGAAAGAGGAGCAGAGGCAGCAAACAAGGAUGAAAACUCACCAGAUAAUAAGGAGAAAAGAUAUGGAAGAAGAAAGGCAGAAAUAUAUGAAAGACAAUAUGCAGAAUCUAGGGAAAUGAGAGCAACAAGAAGUACAAGACAAAGAAAUUGAUAAAAAGAGAGAGAAAUGUGAGGUAAUUUCAAUGAACAUUAAUGGCUUAAACUCUCCAGUGAAAAGGAAGAAAAUAUUUCAUAACCUACAAAAAUUGAAUGCGGAUGUAAUAGCCAUACAAGAGGUGCAUAUAAAAGAGAAACAAAAAUACCUGCUACAUAACAGAAAAUUAGGAAAUGCUUUUAUGUCAUUAGAUAAGCAAAAGAAAAGAGGGAUGGUGUUAUACAUAAAA